UUUUUUCUUUUUCUUUUUUUUAAGGGGGCUGUUAUGAGUUGUGCUGGAAACCAGGAAAGGAUGAGCAAAGAAAAAAGUUCCCCUGAGUCAUUUGGCCCCAAACAUUUUAGCAUACCCAAAGGCUCCAGAGCCCUUUCAGUAACAUAUAUUAUUCCUAUUAAAGAUCCUACCCCUUGGUUUGGGUUCUGUAGCUAGACAAAGAGAAGGUUAAGAACAUCUACUUCUGUGUUACAUUGUUCCAAACUUUUCCUUUCUUUUCUUUUCUUUUCUUUUCUUUUUUUUGAGACGGGGGUCUCACUGUGUUGCCCAGGUUGGAGUGCAAUGGCAAACUCUCCUGCUCACUGCAACCUCCACCUCCAGGGUUCAACUGAUUCUCCUGCCUCAGCCUCCAGAGUAGGAGACUCAUUUGAACCCAGGAGGUAGAGAUUGCAGUUAGCUGAGAUUGCGCUACUGCACUCCAGCCUGGAGUAACAGAGUGAGAUCAGUCUUAAUAAAUAAAUUAAUUAAUUAAUUAAAAAAUGAAAAGGAGGGAAAGGACAUGAACAGGCACUUCUCAAAAGAAGACAUACAUGUGGCCUACAAGCAUAUGAAAAAAGCUCAGUAUCGCUGAUUAUUAGAAAAAUGCAAAUCCAAACCACAAUGAGAUACUGCCUCACACUAGUCAGAAUGGCUAUUAGUAAAAAGUCAAAAAGUAACAGAUGCUGGUGAGGAUGCAGAGAAAAGGGAGUAUUUAUAUACUGUUAGUGGGAGUGUAAAUUAGUUCAACCCUUGUAGAAAGCAGUACCAAAUAGCUAAAAUGCAGGGUCUCAUAUUCUACUAGUAAUUUGAGGACUUUUAAAAAUUAUUCAUUGUAGCUAAAGUUUACUAAUAUUGUUAAUCUUUUCUAAAGUCCAACUUUUGGCUUUUUAAAUUUUCUCUAUUUUUCCACUCUAUUUUAUGUACAUAUCUUUUAAUAUUUAUUAUAUUGUUCAUUUGGCUGGUGUUGGGUUUAAUUUCUUUUCCUUUUUCUAGUUUCUUAAGGGAUGAAGUUAGGUUGUUGGUUUAAGAUGUUUUUUCUGGCUGGGUGCGGUGGCUCAAGCCUGUAAUCCCAGCACUUUGGGAGGCCGAGACGUGUGGAUCAUGAGGUCAGGAGAUCGAGACCAUCCUGGCUAACCCGGUGAAACUCUGUCUCUACUAAAAAAUAUAAAACACUAGCCGGGCGAGGUGGCGGGCGCCUGUAGUCCCAGUUACUUGGGAGGCUGAGGCAGGAGAAUGGCGUAAACCUGGGAGGCGGAGCUUGCAGUGAGCUGAGAUCCGGCCACUGCACUCCAGCCCGGGCGACAGAGUGACACUCCGUCUCAAAAAAAAAAAAGAUGUUUUUUCCAAUGUAUAUAAAGAUAUAAAUUUGCCUCUAAGCACUACUUUUGUUGCAUCCCAUAUGUUUUGAUAUGUUGUGUUUUAAAUUUCAUUAGCCUUAAGAUAUUUUCUAAUUUCCCUUGUAUUUUUUUCUUUGACUCAUUGGUUAUUUAAAAGUGUUGUUUACAUUCCACCUAAUUUUCAAUUUUUUAGUUGUACUUCUGUUAAUGAAUUCUAGUUUCAUUCCAUUGUGAUAGGAAAUAAUGCUUUCUAUGAGUUUAGUUGUUUAAAAUUAAUUAAGACCAGCUUUGUGGUCUAACAUAUAAUCUGUCCUGAAGAAUUCUCCAUGUGCACUUGAAAAAAAUGUAUAUUCUGCUGUUGUUGGAUGGAGUGUUCUAUAUGUCUUUGAGGUCCCGUUGGUCUAUAGUGCUGCUCAAGUCCUCUACUUUCUUAUUGCCCUGGUUGUUUUUUGCAUUAUUGAAAGUAGGCAUUACAUUAUCCAAGUAUUAUUGGAGAGCUGUCUAUUUCUCUCUUCAGUUAUGUCAAUGUUUGUUUCAUAUAUUUAGAGGUUCUGAUAUUUAGUGCCUAUAUGUUUAUAAUUGUUAUUUAUUCUUGAUGAAUUGACACUUUUAUUAAUAUAUGAUGUUCUUUGUCUUUUAUAUAUACAUGUACUUUUAUUUUAUCUAACAUUAGUAUGGCCAUCCCAAUUUCUUUUGGUUACUAUUUGCUUGGAAUAUCUUUUCCAUUCUUUCAUUUUCAACUUAUAUGUGUUUUCAGAUCUGAAGUGAGCUCUUAUAGACACCUUCUUGUUAGAUCCUGUUUUUGCUAUCAAUUCUGUCCAUCUAUGCCUUUUAAUUGGGAAUUUUAAUUCAUUUAUAUUUAAUGCAAUUACUGAUGGGGAAGGACUUAUAUUUUCCGUUUUCCUAUUUAUUUCAGGGUGUCUUAUAGUUAUUUUCUCACUCAUUUUUUCCAUUAUUGCCUUUCUUUGUGUUUAGCUGUUUUUUUUUUUUUUUGUAGAGACACAUUUUUAUUAUCUUCUCCUUUCCUUUGUGUAUAUUCUAUAAUUUGUGUUAACUUAAGGAUUAUUUAUAAUAUUUACAUUUUUUAACAACCUAUUUUUAAUGAAUACUAACAACUUCAGUGGCAAACUAAAACUCUACUCCUACACAGCUCCACCCCUCUGCUUUAUGAUAUCAAUAUCACAAAUUACAUCUGCAUUUAUUUUGUAACCAUUAACAUAGAUUUAUUAUUAUAUUUACUCGAUUGCUUCUAAAUCUUAUAAAAAAUAAAAAGUGAUAUUACACACCAGAAUCUUAAUGAUGCUGAGCAUUAUAUUUUGCUGAUUCAUUUAUCUUUACCAGAGAUCUUUGUAUCUUUAUAUGAUGAUUAUGAAUUAUUGUUUUGCAUCUUUUCAGUUUACUCUAUAGAACUCUCUCUAGCUUUUCUCGUAGGGCAGGCUUAGUGCAAUAAACUGCCUCCGAAUUUUUUUUUUUUAUCUUGAAAUGCUUUAAUUUCACC
Long non-coding RNA from Macaca mulatta (Rhesus monkey), 2853 nucleotides. NCBI's taxonomy places the organism in Eukaryota, Metazoa, Chordata, Mammalia, Primates, Cercopithecidae. The record is from Ensembl.